CUCUUCCUCUGUCCCUAGACCUGGCACCCUUAAGAUGCAGGGACACUGGCCCCUGUUCCUAGGAUGAUCAGGGGCAGCCUGGGCCCUGCUCCAGGCCAGAAGGCCCCGCCACUGCAGGUGCUGCUGGGCUGUCUACCUGCCCCAGAGGGGUCUCCAGGCAGUGGGCAGCCCCUGAGGUGGCCUCCUGUCUCUCAGACCCCUAUGCUGAACCUCCGGCCCUGCCCUACUGGCCCUUCUCCACCUCUGACUUCUGGAACUACGUGCAGUACCUGCAGAGCCUGGGUGCCUACCCACAGCUGGAGGACCUGGCCCGCACCUUCUUUGCCCACUUCCCCCUGGGGAGCACCCUGGGCUUCCACGUCCCCUACCAGGAGGACUGACGCCUGCCUGACUGCACUGCCCUUGCCUUGGGGUGACCCAUAGCCAUGGUGGGGUGGGGGUCUGGUGGCUUCACACCAGUAAACCUCCCACUGAAGAGGCAGCACAGGCCAUGGGGUGCCACAGGCCAGGGACACACUCUGACCCACCCCACAGCUGCACACUGCUCUAUUGUCUCCCCAGCUAACCUGGCUGGCUCUGAUCCCUGGGGACUCUGCUUUAAUAAAUGUCUGCACACUUUCAUCCACGGAGUCGCCACUGUGUCACCCCCUCCUCCAGUUCUCUCCAUAACCCUCAGAUUGCCGGUGAGGAAACUGAGGCAGGAACAGAGGCUCGGCCUGAAUCGUUAAAGCCAUUCAGCUGGUCAGAGGAGCUGGUUCCAGCCCCAGCAGGGGACACGGAGUUGGGCAGCAGUCAGCCCAGGGCAGGUGUCCACACUUCACACAGAGCACACUCUUGAGGGCAGCAGGGAAUGAGGACACGUGAGCCCAUCUGUGAGGGGAGUCAGGGCCCAGGUUCAGGCUCCGAGGCUGAGGAGGGAGGGGUUUGUGGCCCUGGGCAGUCCUGUGGGAGUGGGAGGGUGGACAGGCAGCGCAGGAGUGCCUCAGGUCCAGCCCCAGUGCAGUGAGACCCAUCUGUGCAAGGUGUGCAAGCCAAGAGGACCGUGAGGCUCACACCCAGUCAGGGAAGAAAGCCAGCCAGUGGCAGCCCCCUCAGUGCCUCAGGGGACACACUCUAACCUGGCAUCUGAGGCUCCUCUGCCCUGAAUCCAGUCCCUGUCCACUCAGGCCAGGCUGGCCCCUGUCCAGGCCACAAUACCCUCACAUCUCUGCUCUGUCCCUUGGCCUCCACAGCCCCUCCCAACCUCCAUGUCCACCUACUGCUGAAAGUUAAGGAAAAGAUGAUUCAAGGACACUAAAGGCGGGUAAGAGACUCCAUUCAGGACUACCAAGACAGGGGCAAAGGCCUGUGGGGCCUCCCAAUGAGAAAGACUGCGUUCAACUCCAAGGGCAGCAGCAGUGGGGGUGGACAGCAAGGAGCAGGCUGGGUGAUGGGCGGAAAGUGACUGAAGGUGGCACAGUGCAUCUUGCUAAACAGGACUUGGGGAAGGAGGCCAGGGAGCUCAGAUACCCACGGGUGUGAGGGCGGAGGAACCCCAUCAGAUGUCGGGGUGCUCACAUCUGGCUGCGCUGGCUUAGCAGGGCUCUUUGCUAAAAUUGGGCUUUACAGACGUGCAGAGCUGGGCCUCAGACGAGGAGGCGGCUGCACUCUGGGCAGCGGACCAAGUCGAGGCCAGGCGCCUCCUGCUCCCUCUCGGCUCUGGUCUCUCCCUCCUUUCCUUCCCUACCCCCUUUUCUCCGUCACAAAUUGUGGCAAAACAAUACAACAUGAAAUUUCCACCUUAACCAGAUUCAAGUGUCACCAGGCACGUUCCCGGCGCCUCCAACGGGACACCGUGUCUUUAGGUGACCGGCUUAUUUCAGUAACACGAUGUCCUCGAGGCUGGCCCUCGCUGACCGCGGGGGAACGUGCCUCCUGGGUGGCACUGCGCCCAGGGGACAGGCCCGUUCCGUUUGUGCCUUCGCCCACGGCGCGGCGCUCGCAGGAGUCCGCUUCCCACCGGGGACGCGCUCCGGAGGGGGCUCGGGGCGGCCCUGUGCGGUAUUCCGAGGACUCGGGGAUGUCCUCCGGUCGCCGCGAGGUCCCGCCUCCGCGGGCAGUCCCAGAACGCGGACGCGGGUGGCGCGCGGCGGCUGUGAACGUCGCCGCGCGUCCCCGAGCCUGGCGUCCGCAUCCUUCUCCGGGAAGAGCUGCCGUGCCCGGCCCGCUCCACGUCGGGCUUCGACGUCCAAGAGCGCCCCGCUCCCUCCACCCGUCGGCUGCGACGCAGCCUCCGGCUCCCGGCGCCCUCCCCGGGCACGCAGGUCGGCGAGACCAGCCCAGCUCCCGAUGGCGCGGCACGAAGCAAACCCCGCCUGACCGGGGCCCGCGGCGGGCACCACCGAGUCGCGGUCCUCCAGCGUCUAGACCUGCCGGGUGGGAGCGCCGGAAGUAGGCGCGGCGAGCCGGAAGUGGGCAGAGCGCGACGGCCCGAGAUGAAGCCGGCGGUGGACGAGAUGUUCCCCGAGGGCGCCGGUCCCUACGUGGACCUGGACGAGGUGAGGUGGGAGCGUCGGCGUUCUGGCCUAGCGUAGGGGCGGCUGCCGGAAGGCGGGAGCUGGUUCCCCGCCUGGCGACGCCCGCGCGUCUUGGGGACGAGCCUGGCCGGGGCCCGCGGGGUGGGUACCGGAGGGAGGAGAGAACGCAGGGCCAGAUGGUGGAGCGGCACGGAGCGGGCGGGUCCUGCGCAUCCCACUCCCGGGGCCCCGAACCCAGCUCCUGUCAGGUUUUAAGGCCCCUGCGGGAGGCCUCAGGCUCCGAUUUGCUAGGCGGCUGGUCACUUAGCAGAGUUCGGAGUUGGGUUUGGAGUGGGAGAGUAGGAAAAUGGAAUUAGAAAGGAAACUUGAAGAAGGUCUGAAUAAGGCCGGUGGGAUUUACGUGGUGGUGUCUGCGUGGCUUCCUGUAGCGUUGCGUUGGGGAGGCUGGCUGAGAAGGGGGGAGUCUUGGAACCUUGGCAGCAGCCUGAAACGGAGCACGGAGGCGUUUGGCACUUAAGAGUUGAGCACACACCUUCGAGGGUGUAGGGACCAGAGCAGGAACAGGCUCCUGUGGCCAGCCAUCCAGACAGCUACCAUCAGAGGACCCUGCACUGAUCCUUCCCAGGCGACUAAGCAACGGGCAGAAUCCUGAGUGCAUUCUAUUGCCCAGCGGUGGCAGUGACCUGAUUUUGCCACCAGGAGGAGCUUCAGCUGUGGGAGGCUCUGAGGGCACACAAGGGCCAGGGCAGGUCAGCUUCCAAGGGAAAUGGUUGCAUUCUCAAAAGGGAGGGGUCCAGAAUAGUUGCCAGACUGGGGUUGCACAUGCUUGUGGUCUCUGUGCAGUGUCCAGGAGGGGACUGGAGGCUGAACUUGAGGUCCACAGGUGAGUAGUGGCACACAGGGCAAUGGGAAUUCUCUUUUUGAAAGAAAGGGAAAAAUUAAGGAAUGUAGAAUUUUAAAAACUGCUCCUUGAAUUCCCCCUUCACACACAUUCUUUAUUUGCAACUAAAAUUCUUAACUCCACCCUGAGUACUUGCCUGUCACCCCUCACCCUGUUCCUGUUUCCUGGAGGUAUGGGAUGCUAUGACAACUCAAAGCUGUUUUGGGGAAAGAGCUCACAUAACUUGCCUUUCACUCCCCAGGCAGGAGGCAGCACUGGACUCCUGAUGGACUUGGCAGCCAAUGAGAAAGCAGUCCAUGCAGACUUCUUUAAUGGUAAGGGUGCUGGGAUUCUGCAUGCCUGGUUUUAUUUAAAAGUUUUUCCUGUAAGUUAAUACAGUGGGACGAUCUUGUGACCUGAAUAAUUAGGAUCAUGGAAGAGUGAAGCCAAGACACUGCUGUUCUCAGAGUACAGUGCAGAAAUGAUCACACUGGCUGUCGGCCACAUCUGGAGAAGCAUGAAAUUGCUUCCUGUCUCACAUGCCAGGGCCUGAGAUUGAGUACGUGGCAUGAAUGUUAGCACAUGCUAACGGCCAGUUGUGGCUGCCCUGUCACCCUGGACAGGUUCUCUCGGGUGGCUGUACUCUCCUGAUCUUCCCUCCCUUCUUCCUUUCCCAUACUUGUCUGCCCUUGGCUGUCUUUGCAAGGAGCAGCCACACUCCGGCUUCAGCCCUUCCCAGUCUUUGAGUCGGGACGAGGACACACUUCAUCUUGUUUCAGAACUUUUCAUGCUAGCUACCCAGGAAGUUUUACCAAACACACUGAAAGCUGACCUCUCAUGAACCUUCAAGUGUGCUAGAGGCCAUGUUUCUCUUAUUCCUCUGGUUUCUGAAGGCUUUGUCCAUACAGGUUAUUUGGGCCCUUACCAAGGGUUCAAACAGAGGAAACAUAACAUACAUUUCCUGCUCAGAAGGGUAAGUGAGAUUUCUUUCCUUUUUCUGUCCCGCUGUAAUCACAUGGUUUUUGUCCCUACAAAGAACUUUUGUUACUCGCUAGUAGCAGCUGGGGUGUGAUCUUGCCACGUUGGUGUCUGCCUUUACAAAUAAUCCCUGAGUCCAUGCUAGUUUGGCUCACUGUCCAGGAGGAGGAACCUUGCUGCUAAAUAAGGUGCAGUCUUUCCAGGGGACCUGGCUGCCACCCACUGAUAUCAGACAUCCCAUAACCUUGGAGCUGAGCUUUGAGAGCCUCAAUAGCCUUUCUCUAAAUUCUGUCCAAGGGAACACAAGGUGCGGAAGGGUGGACGCCUUCCAGAGCUUCCUGGGAUUCUCACCAGGCAAGGCCGUCUCAUUCCUAGUGCUGGCACCAUUAAUUCACAGUUCAGUGAUCUUCAAAAGUCCCUUUUGUCCUUUGCUAGCCUCUUAAAUUAGAGAUGAUUGACUGUGUUCAAUGGUCAGUGUUGAGAUUUCCAAAGAUAGCCCUUGGAUUCCAGUGAGAAGGAUUUCCAAAGACAGUGGAUUCCUGUGCACCUGCUUCUGGGCUCAGGAGCAUGUCAGAGUCCUCCUGCAGGCGCUGCCUGUCUUGGGUGGUGGCUGUUGUUGUCCACGAGGAGCCUCUGGCUUCAGUUGAGGUUUCUCCCACAACCCUUUGGCUCGUCAGCUGGGUGGACUUUGGGAUCCAUUGUCUGCUGGGCAGUGGGUCCUCACGAUGAGUGUGACUUGCUCUCUUCCCUGGCUUGUUUCAUAGUGCAGUAGAGGAGUUAGACGAGGUGGCAGGCACGGCAGAACUGCACCCUGAGGGCUGGGUGGGAUUGCCCUGGAAGGUGUCUCCUUGUGAAGAUGUGGAGCAGAGGGAUGCUCUGGGGAGAGGGAAGGAAGUGUCUAGAGCAAUAGCACCACACAGAAAGGUCAGUGGGCAGCGAGUACUCCCUCUGUGGCCAGAGGAGCUGCCCUUCCCCAAAAAGGCCAGUGCGGGGCCUGCCCCAGCGCUCUGUCUGACCACGUCCUCAGGCCAGGGCCCACAGGAGGGGGCUUAGUUCUUUCUUUUCCCAUGGUGAAGGGGAUGUUGGCAUGAGGUCCAGAACUUGGAAGGUGCACAGAGGAAAGCAGAAGGACAAAUUGGCCCUGGCUGUGGUCACCCGGCCAGUGCCUUGUGUGUUUAUCCAGCUGCUUCUGGCAGGAAUGGGUCUUCGUUGUGUCUUGAACUCACCUCUUCCAGGCCCCCUAAGGCCAUUCUCAGUGGCGCAGUCCUUCUGCCACCUUUCUGCAGCCCCUCCGCAUGUCACCCUUAGCACAGGUGUCAGUGCAGCUGUGAGGUGGCUGUCAGUGUGCAACACCUGUGUCUUCCUGCGUAAGAGCAGGUUAAAAGCAUGUAGAAACCACACUGUCCCCUUGAAUUGUGAGCCCUGUUAGCUAAAGCUGAGCAUCUGUCGUGGGGAAAGGCCUCUGCCACAUCAUUUGCUGUCUGUGUCUUCAACUACCUGUAAUUAACUUUGAAGUGGGUUUCUGGGAUGCUUUCCCUAUGUGCCCAUUAAUGUGGGGUUCUGUUUACAUAGAUUUUGAAGAUCUCUUUGAUGACGAUGAUGUCCAGUGAGUCCGGUCCAGCUGCACACAUGGCCAUGCACAGCACACCAAUCUGCACAGAGGGCGGUGUCAGAUGGUUUAGAGACCUCGUGGAGAUCACUAGAAGNNNNNNNNNNNNNNNNNNNNNNNNNNNNNNNNNNNNNNNNNNNNNNNNNNNNNNNNNNNNNNNNNNNNNNNNNNNNNNNNNNNNNNNNNNNNNNNNNNNNNNNNNNNNNNNN
RNAcentral lists this long non-coding RNA (6192 nucleotides) under Marmota monax (woodchuck). Lineage: Eukaryota; Metazoa; Chordata; Mammalia; Rodentia; Sciuridae. The record is from RNAcentral.